RNAcentral lists this unclassified non-coding RNA (177 nucleotides) under Glomeromycotina sp. Its description in RNAcentral is "partial contains small subunit ribosomal RNA, internal transcribed spacer 1, and 5.8S ribosomal RNA". The stretch from base 1 to 47 matches the Rfam family "Eukaryotic small subunit ribosomal RNA", at positions 1785 to 1831 of the family's 1831-position model. Lineage: Eukaryota; Fungi; Glomeromycota. The record is from RNAcentral.
AAAGUCGUAACAAGGUUUCCGUAGGUGAACCUGCGGAAGGAUCAUUACUGAUUUAUGCGAACCUCGCGUCAGCGGGGAUUUCGCGUUUGUAUUUAAAACACCCACUCUUAAAAAAAUUUUUAUAAUCAUGUGUAAAUAAAUAAAAGAUCACUUUCAACAACGGAUCUCUUGGCUCUC